UACAGAGGUGGCAAGCGUUGUUCGGAAUUACUGGGCGUAAAGGGCGCGUAGGCGGCCUUGUCAGUCAGACGUGAAAUCCCCAGGCUUAACCUGGGAACUGCGCCUGAUACUACAAGGCUUGAGUGCGGGAGAGGGAUGUGGAAUUCCAGGUGUAGCGGUGAAAUGCGUAGAGAUCGGGAGGAACACCCGUGGCGAAGGCGGCUCUCUGGUCGACAACUGACGCUGAGACGCGAAAGCGUGGGGAGCGAACGGG
This 253-nucleotide ribosomal RNA is filed under the name uncultured bacterium. Its description in RNAcentral is "partial 16S ribosomal RNA". It matches the Rfam family "Bacterial small subunit ribosomal RNA", at positions 524 to 776 of the family's 1533-position model. The record is from RNAcentral.